RNAcentral lists this ribosomal RNA (727 nucleotides) under uncultured soil bacterium. RNAcentral describes it as "bacterial SSU rRNA". It matches the Rfam family "Bacterial small subunit ribosomal RNA", at positions 37 to 773 of the family's 1533-position model. The record is from RNAcentral.
UGGCGGCGUGCUUAACACAUGCAAGUCGAACGAGGUCCAACCAGUCGCAAGACUGGUGAAGACCGAGUGGCGAACGGGUGCGUAUCACGUGAGAAACCUGUCCCGGUCUCUGGAAUAACAGUCGGAAACGACUGCUAAUACCGGAUGCCGUCGGAGCGUCGCAUGGCGCGCUGACGAAAGGGCUACCGGAUCGGGAGGGUCUCGCGGCCUAUCAGCUUGUUGGUGAGGUAACGGCUCACCAAGGCAUCGACGGGUAGCUGGUCUGAGAGGAUGAUCAGCCACACUGGGACUGAGACACGGCCCAGACUCCUACGGGAGGCAGCAGUGGGGAAUCUUGCACAAUGGGCGAAAGCCUGGUGCAGCAACGCCGCGUGCGGGAUGAAGGCCCUAGGGUUGUAAACCGCUUUCAGCAGGGAAGAAAAUGACGGUACCUGUAGAAGAAGGUGCGGCCAACUACGUGCCAGCAGCCGCGGUGAUACGUAGGCACCAAGCGUUGUCCGGAUUUAUUGGGCGUAAAGAGCUCGUAGGCGGUUCGGUAAGUCGGGUGUGAAAACUCUGGGCUCAACCCAGAGAGGCCACCCGAUACUGCCGUGACUAGAGUGCGGUAGGGGAGUGGGGAAUUCCUGGUGUAGCGGUGAAAUGCGCAGAUAUCAGGAGGAACACCGGUGGCGAAGGCGCCACUCUGGGCCGUAACUGACGCUGAGGAGCGAAAGCGUGGGUAGCAAAC